GAGUCAUAAUAUCCCAGCAGCCUCCUCUCCACUGUGUUGAUACCUGAUGUCUGUUGAGUCAUGAUAUCCCAGCAGUCUCCUCUCCACUGUGUUGAUACCUGAUGUCUGUUGAGUCAUGAUAUCCCAGCAGCCUCCUCUCCACUGUGUUGAUACCUGAAGUCUGUUGAGUCAUGAUAUCCCAGCAGUCUCCUCUCCACUGUGUUGAUACCUGAUGUCUGUUGAGUCAUGAUAUCCCAGCAGUCUCUCCUCCACCACUGACAGCUCCCAGAUCCAGUCACCUCUGAAAAGCUGUUAAAUAUUGAAGCACUGUGAUACUUUACCCUCUGCUGCUUUGUAGCUGGGGCUGCUUCCCAAACGGCACUCUAUUCCCUAUAUAGUGCACUACUGUUGACCACGGGCAAAUAGGGCUAGUUGUUGCGCUAUGUAGGGAAUAGAGUGUUGUUUGGGAAGCAGCCCUUGAGGUCACAUGAACAGAUGUAGUUUGUAAUUCAGCUCAUCUCAACAGUAAAUCCACAGCAGGCUCUUUGUGUUGCUAGGAUCAGUCAGGUAGGAGGAGAAAGACAGUGUCUGUUGGUUUGAGUUGGUAGAGUUAGUCAGGUAGGAUGAUAAAGACAGUGUCUGUAGGUAGAGUUAGUCAGGUAGGAUGAUAAAGACAGUGUCUGUAGGUAGAGUUAGUCAGGUAGGAGGAGGAAGACUGUGUCUGUAGGCAGAGUUAGUCAGGUAGGAUGAUAAAGACAGUGUCUGUAGGUAGAGUUAGUCAGGUAGGAGGAGGAAGACUGUGUCUGUAGGCAGAGUUAGUCAGGUAGGAUGAUAAAGACAGUGUCUGUAGGUAGAGUUAGUCAGGUAGGAGGAGGAAGACUGUGUCUGUAGGCAGAGUUAGUCAGGUAGGAUGAUAAAGACAGUGUCAGUAGGUAGAGUUAGUCAGGUAGGAUGAUAAAGACAGUGUCUGUUGGUAGAGUUAGUCAGGUAGGAUGAUAAAGACAGUGUCUGUAGGUAGAGUUAGUCAGGUAGGAUGAUAAAGACAGUGUCUGUUGGUAGAGUUAGUCAGGUAGGAUGAUAAAGACAGUGUCUGUAAGUAGAGUUAGUCAGGUAGGAUGAUAAAGACAGUGUCAGUAGGUAGAGUUAGUCAGGUAGGAGGAGGAAGACUGUGUCUGUAGGCAGAGUUAGUCAGGGAGGAUGAUAAAGACAGUGUCUGUAGGUAGAGUUAGUCAGGUAGGAUGAUAAAGACAGUGUCUGUUGGUUUGAGUUGGUAGAGUUAGUCAGGUAGGAUGAUAAAGACAGUGUCAGUAGGUAGAGUUAGUCAGGUAGGAUGAUAAAGACAGUGUCAGUAGGUAGAGUUAGUCAGGUAGGAUGAUAAAGACAGUGUCAGUAGGUAGAGUUAGUCAGGUAGGAUGAUAAAGACAGUGUCAGUAGGUAGAGUUAGUCAGGUAGGAGGAUAAAGACAGUGUCUGUUGGUUUGAGUUGGUAGAGUUAGUCAGGUAGGAUGAUAAAGACAGUGUCAGUAGGUAGAGUUAGUCAGGUAGGAUGAUAAAGACAGUGUCAGUAGGUAGAGUUAGUCAGGUAGGAUGAUAAAGACAGUGUCUGUAAGUAGAGUUAGUCAGGUAGGAUGAUAAAGACAGUGUCAGUAGGUAGAGUUAGUCAGGUAGGAUGAUAAAGACAGUGUCAGUAGGUAGAGUUAGUCAGGUAGGAUGAUAAAGACAGUGUCAGUAGGUAGAGUUAGUCAGGUAGGAUGAUAAAGACAGUGUCAGUAGGUAGAGUUAGUCAGGUAGGAGGAUAAAGACAGUGUCUGUUGGUUUGAGUUGGUAGAGUUAGUCAGGUAGGAUGAUAAAGACAGUGUCAGUAGGUAGAGUUAGUCAGGUAGGAUGAUAAAGACAGUGUCAGUAGGUAGAGUUAGUCAGGUAGGAUGAUAAAGACAGUGUCUGUAAGUAGAGUUAGUCAGGUAGGAUGAUAAAGACAGUGUCAGUAGGUAGAGUUAGUCAGGUAGGAAGAUAAAGACAGUGUCAGUAGGUAGAGUUAGUCAGGUAGGAUGAUAAAGACAGUGUCAGUAGGUAGAGUUAGUCAGGUAGGAUGAUAAAGACAGUGUCAGUAGGUAGAGUUAGUCAGGUAGGAGGAUAAAGACAGUGUCUGUUGGUUUGAGUUGGUAGAGUUAGUCAGGUAGGAUGAUAAAGACAGUGUCAGUAGGUAGAGUUAGUCAGGUAGGAUGAUAAAGACAGUGUCAGUAGGUAUAGUCAGGUAGGAUGAUAAAGACAGUGUCAGUAGGUAGAGUUAGUCAGGUAGGAGGAGAAAGACCGUGUCAGUAGGUAGAGUUAGUCAGGUAGGAGGGGAGGAAGACAGUGUCAGUAGGUAGCAUGACUAGGUAGAGUUAGUCAGUGUGGCAGAGUACUACUGUGUAUUACCAACCUUCUGUUUGGUUCGAUCUCAAAUGAACGUCAUUGACAUUGUCUUGGGAGUGCUACUGGGCGGUAGUCAUUUAGACAGGUGACCUUGGCUCUCUUGGGCACAGGGACUAUGGUGGUCUGCUUGAAACAUGUAGAUAUUAAAGACUGGGUCGGUAAGACGUUGAAAAUGUCAGAGUACGUGUCCUGGUAAUCCGUCUGGCCCUGCGGCCUUGUGAAUGUUGACCUGUUUAAAGGUCUUACUCACAUCGACUAUGGACAGCGUGAUCACACAGUCUUCCGGGAACAGAUGGUGCUCUCACGCAUGGUUCAGUGUUGCUUGCCUUGAAAGCUGGUAGGCGCAGGACAUAUUCCAGUCUGUACUAGUGAAACAGCCCUGUAGCUCAGGGGCUCUUAUUUCCUGCAAUUAUACACAUUUUUUAUCAUGGGGUGCAAAGAACGUUUUGCAGUUUUAAAGCAAAUUAUUUUAUUUCAAUUCUAUACAUUUUGCCAUGUUUAAUGUGUAUUCAUGUGAUAUUGAGUGACUCAAAACUACAACAAUAUUUAUGGUAAAAAAAAA
This is a long non-coding RNA of Oncorhynchus kisutch (coho salmon), 2955 nucleotides long. RefSeq lists it as uncharacterized. Lineage: Eukaryota; Metazoa; Chordata; Actinopteri; Salmoniformes; Salmonidae. The transcript is spliced from 2 exons. The record is from RefSeq and is a predicted model, not a curated record.